This 811-nucleotide long non-coding RNA is filed under the name Chinchilla lanigera (long-tailed chinchilla). RNAcentral describes it as "lncRNA (ENSCLAG00000025954.1)". The record is from RNAcentral. Lineage: Eukaryota; Metazoa; Chordata; Mammalia; Rodentia; Chinchillidae.
UUCAUGAGGGUGGAGCAAUCUGGACUUCCCUGCUUUAUGAUGAAGGCUAUGAGUCUCGGAAGGGCUGUUUUGGCUUCCCACUUAUUUUACCUGUGGAGGUCCAUGUUCUGUGUGCUCCCAUUUCCCUUUGAUCGGGAGGGUGUCCUGACUAAUCCAAUGAAGACGUAUUGUGACAUCGUCAGUGUCAAUGCAGAGUAUUCCAAGUCCAGUGUACACAACGCGUUAGUGAUUCCAGAACAGAAGAGGUGGCCUCUGGGAGCAUCUUUCAUACUCCUCAGAUGAGCAUGUUACUGCUCCUCCUAGCACAGACAGCUCCCACACAGCCCAGGCGGAGAAGUCGCUCCCUGGACCUCCUGCACCCUGAAUGGAGCUCAUUGUUCAGCCCCUCAAGACAGCAGCAUCACCUUUCACCGUCUCAACAGUCGGGACCUCUCCUAGGAUGGCCUGACUUGGAUGCCUUACGUGGACACCAACUCGAUCACCUGUGCGUGGGCCUCUGGUUUGGAGCGAAAAACACCAGGAAGCCAGGGAAUCAUCAUGGAGCUAAGUGUGCUGUUUUGUUGAGAAUGAACUCGAAUUCUUUCAGGUGUUGUGCAGAAAAGCGUCUGAGUCCUGAGAAGAAGAAAAUCAGAAAAACGGCAAACAGUCGCAGGUAGAGCCACAGAAUAAUGCUCUUUCAAAGAUAUGUCUGUCUUCAGAACAUAUGAAUAAGUCACAAUACAUCCCAAAAGGACUUUGUAGCUGUGCUUCAGAUCACAGACCUUCCCUGAAAUGGAAAAAAUAUCUCAAAUUAUCCAGGUGGGCCCUAUCG